GACUGACCCUGCAUAAGAAGCCCCGGCUAACUACCUGCCUGCCGCCGCGGUAAUACGUAGGGGGCAAGCGUUGUCUGGAAUCAUUGGGCGUAAAUAGCUCGUACGCGGUUCGUUAAUUCCGGUGUAAAAGCUCCGAGCUCACUUCGCACAGGCCCCCUGAUCCUGCUGGGACUACAAUCCUGUGGGGGAGUGUGGAACUCCUGGUGUAGCGGUGAAAUGCUGCAAUAUCAGGAAGAACACCAGCGGCGAAGGCGGCACUCUGGGCUGGAAUUGACGCUGAUGAGCGAAAGUGUGGGUAGCAAACAGGAUUAGAUACCCUGGUGUCCACACCGUAAACGUUGGGCACUAGGUGUGGGGAGGAUCAACCCUUUCCGUGCCGUAGCUAACGCAUUAAGUGCCCCGCCUGGGGAGUACGGCCGCAAGGCUAAAACUC
This 433-nucleotide ribosomal RNA is filed under the name uncultured bacterium. Its description in RNAcentral is "bacterial SSU rRNA". It matches the Rfam family "Bacterial small subunit ribosomal RNA", at positions 471 to 902 of the family's 1533-position model. The record is from RNAcentral.